This 492-nucleotide ribosomal RNA is filed under the name uncultured bacterium. RNAcentral describes it as "partial 16S ribosomal RNA". It matches the Rfam family "Bacterial small subunit ribosomal RNA", at positions 29 to 507 of the family's 1533-position model. The record is from RNAcentral.
AGUGAACGCUGGCGGUAGGCCUAACACAUGCAAGUCGAACGGCAGCACAGUAAGAGCUUGCUCUUACUGGUGGCGAGUGGCGGACGGGUGAGGAAUACAUCGGAAUCUACUUUUUCGUGGGGGAUAACGUAGGGAAACUUACGCUAAUACCUCAUACUACCUACGGGUUAAAGCAGGGGAUCUUCGGACCUUGCGCGAUUGUAUUAGCCGAUGUCGGAUUAGCUAGUUGGCGGGGUAAAGUCCCACCAAGGCGACGAUCCGUAGCUGGUCUGAGAGGAUGAUCAGCCACACUGGAACUGAGACACGGUCCAGACUCCUACGGGAGGCAGCAGUGGGGAAUAUUGGACAAUGGGCGCAAGCCUGAUCCAGCCAUACCGCGUGAGUGAAGAAGGCCUUCGGGUUGUAAAGCCCUUUUGUUGGGAAAGAAAAGCAGCAGGUUAAUACCCCGCUGUUCUGACGGUACCCAAAGAAUAAGCACCGGCUAACUUCGUG